Long non-coding RNA from Helianthus annuus (common sunflower), 1134 nucleotides. RefSeq lists it as uncharacterized. The transcript is spliced from 3 exons. The record is from RefSeq and is a predicted model, not a curated record. NCBI's taxonomy places the organism in Eukaryota, Viridiplantae, Streptophyta, Magnoliopsida, Asterales, Asteraceae.
AUAUAUUAAUAAACGUAUGCUUUGAACAGUAAAUGGGUUCUUUCGUAAUUAUCACAUACAAAUUCUCGUCAAGCCCUGACCCACCCACCGUUGAAAGAGAAACGCGUCAACCAACAAUAUCACAAAACCCAUGGAACCGGAAUAAAUCCGGCGACUGUGAAAGAGGAAGAGUGAUGCAGCAGAGAGCCACAUGUGAGACGACGGUCGUACCAGGGUUUCCGGUCACUGCAGCGGCGGUCAACAGUGGUGGCUAGGGUUUCGAUUGCGGUUUCAGGAGGGAUCAGCGGAACCCGAUAAUGAUGAAGAUGGCCGGCGAAAUACCUAGGGUUUCGGCUAAGUUCCGGCAGAAGGAUUAAAGCUUGCAUGUUCCAUUUUCAAGUAGAUCGGUGACGGAUUCGUCUGCAUGUGUGCUUUUCUGAAUUUAAGGUAUAACCCAUCUACCUCCCCCCAUCAAUCUCAUCACAACAUCUCUGCCUCUGUCCCCGGCGACGUCUGGCGACCAAUGAAACAAGAUUUAUUAUUGUGGAUGCUUUGUGCACUGGAACCAAACGAUUCUUGAGCAAUUACAUCUUAACCUUGAAAGGCCAUACUAAUGAGAAGGUAAAUUAAGUUGAUGCGUAUUUUUGUCCGAAAACGUCGGAGAACGCCUGGCAGCCGCCCCCCUGGGCGUUUUGGUUGCAAAAAUUGGUUGAAGCGUGCUUUAUUCCACGCCGGAGAGCAAAAGGGUUUGCCCAAUCACAUGCAGUGUUCUUUUGUUUGUCCAAUAGCUUUUUUUGUUAGUUUUUUUAUUUAAUUCUUUACACCCCCUUUAACAUAAUGCCCCACAUCCCCACUUCCCCACUACACCCAUUUUAGAAAACGUCCCAUAAUGCCCCAUUGCUGACUGGGCUGCCACAUGGCGCAAAACGCCCAAAGGUAAGUUUAUUACCAGUGCACAUGGUCUAAGUUGGUAGUAGGAGACUUUGUGAGACUUGAUUAAUUAGCUAAACUGAUACUUUGUUAAUUAGGUGCUUUACAUAAGGUUUUUUCUUACCUCAUGUAAGUUUAUUUCAAAGUUGAAUUCAAAAGAGGAAUCAAAUUGUUCAAAAGGAUUGAGCCAAAUUUUAUAACAAUAAUACUUAUGAUUCAUAUUUA